AUUAUACUCCCUUCGUUCGGAAUUACAUGUCUCGGAAAUGGAUGUAUCUAGAACUAAAAUACGGCUAGAUACAUCCAUUUCUUCGACAAGUAAUUCCGAACGGAGGGAGUACCUG
This is a non-coding RNA of Triticum aestivum (bread wheat), 115 nucleotides long. The record is from Rfam. NCBI's taxonomy places the organism in Eukaryota, Viridiplantae, Streptophyta, Magnoliopsida, Poales, Poaceae.